AUUGAACGCUGGCGGCAUGCCUUACACAUGCAAGUCGAACGGCAGCACGGGAGCAAUCCUGGUGGCGAGUGGCGAACGGGUGAGUAAUGUAUCGGAACGUACCUUUCAGUGGGGGAUAACGUAGCGAAAGUUACGCUAAUACCGCAUAUUCUGUGAGCAGGAAAGCAGGGGAUCGCAAGACCUUGCGCUGAUUGAGCGGCCGAUAUCAGAUUAGCUAGUUGGUGAGGUAAAGGCUCACCAAGGCGACGAUCUGUAGCGGGUCUGAGAGGAUGAUCCGCCACACUGGAACUGAGACACGGUCCAGACUCCUACGGGAGGCAGCAGUGGGGAAUUUUGGACAAUGGGCGCAAGCCUGAUCCAGCCAUUCCGCGUGCAGGAUGAAG
RNAcentral lists this ribosomal RNA (383 nucleotides) under uncultured bacterium. RNAcentral's name for it is "bacterial SSU rRNA". It matches the Rfam family "Bacterial small subunit ribosomal RNA", at positions 30 to 413 of the family's 1533-position model. The record is from RNAcentral.